Molecule: ribosomal RNA, 485 nt
Filed under: uncultured bacterium
Lineage: Bacteria
Description: bacterial SSU rRNA
Rfam family: Bacterial small subunit ribosomal RNA
Source: RNAcentral
AUUGAACGCUGGCGGCAUGCCUUACACAUGCAAGUCGAACGGUAACAGGGUCUUCGGAUGCUGACGAGUGGCGAACGGGUGAGUAAUACAUCGGAACGUGCCCGAUCGUGGGGGAUAACGCAGCGAAAGCUGUGCUAAUACCGCAUACGAUCUACGGAUGAAAGCGGGGGAUCGCAAGACCUCGCGCGGACGGAGCGGCCGAUGGCAGAUUAGGUAGUUGGUGGGAUAAAAGCUUACCAAGCCGACGAUCUGUAGCUGGUCUGAGAGGACGACCAGCCACACUGGGACUGAGACACGGCCCAGACUCCUACGGGAGGCAGCAGUGGGGAAUUUUGGACAAUGGGCGCAAGCCUGAUCCAGCCAUGCCGCGUGCAGGAUGAAGGCCUUCGGGUUGUAAACUGUCUUUUGUACGGAAACGAAAAAGCUCUCUCUAAUACAGGGGGUGAAUGACGGUACCGUAAGAAUAAGCACCGGCUAACUACGUG